Molecule: long non-coding RNA, 381 nt
Filed under: Mytilus galloprovincialis (Mediterranean mussel)
Lineage: Eukaryota; Metazoa; Mollusca; Bivalvia; Mytilida; Mytilidae
Source: RNAcentral
GUUCAAGUGUUCAAUUUUAAGAACCUUCUUCAAUUGGUCUGCACUAAAAAACUAAUGUAAACGAUAAAUAUCUAUAUUAUCAACAAACUUGAUAUAAUAAUAUUAAACAGAACUUUCAAUACUUUUAAAUAAUCAAACAGUGCCUAAGUCGUAAAUCUACUACUAACCGUUUAUUGAAAUAAUCACCGCCUCCCUACUAACCUCAUAUGGACGAGAUCGCUUUUAACCAAUGAUAUUCCCUAGAAAUGUAUAGGAGGUAAGAUAAAUAUAUAAAUAUAUAUAUCUGUUCUCUACAGUUCAUUCAUCCGGUUUUCUCUUUCAAAAUACAUAAAGGUAAUGUUUAUUGUAUGUUCUUUAGUCAAAUGUUGUUCUUUAAAGAAU